RNAcentral lists this transfer RNA (73 nucleotides) under Bos taurus (domestic cattle). It matches the Rfam family "tRNA". From Rfam's summary of the family: Transfer RNA (tRNA) molecules are approximately 80 nucleotides in length. Their secondary structure includes four short double-helical elements and three loops (D, anti-codon, and T loops). Further hydrogen bonds mediate the characteristic L-shaped molecular structure. tRNAs have two regions of fundamental functional importance: the anti-codon, which is responsible for specific mRNA codon recognition, and the 3' end, to which the tRNAs corresponding amino acid is attached (by aminoacyl-tRNA synthetases). tRNAs cope with the degeneracy of the genetic code in two manners: having more than one tRNA (with a specific anti-codon) for a particular amino acid; and 'wobble' base-pairing, i.e. permitting non-standard base-pairing at the 3rd anti-codon position. RNAcentral also lists the same sequence under 2 other names. The record is from Rfam by way of RNAcentral. Lineage: Eukaryota; Metazoa; Chordata; Mammalia; Artiodactyla; Bovidae.
UCCUCGGUGGUCCACCGGUUAAGGCUCUGCCCUUCCAAUGCAGCUGGUGCAGGUUCAAACCCUGGCCAGGGAA